ACGUACAGCGGAGCACAGAGACAGCAGGUUAAUACAGCAUGUUAAUACAGCGACUGCAGGUUAAUACAGCAAGUUAAUACAGCGACAGCAGGUUAAUACAGCAGGUUAAUACAGUGACAGCAUGUUAAUACAGUGACAGCAAGUAAUACAGCAGGUUAAUACAGCGACAGCAUGUUAAUACAGUGACAGCAGGUUAAUAUAGCAGGUUAAUACAGCGACGGCAGGUUAAUACAGCAGGUUAAUACAGCGGCAGCAGGUUAAUGCAGCAGUACAGUAUGUUAAUACAGCAAUAUCAGGUUAAUACAGCGACAGCGGGUUAAUACAGUGAAGGCAUGUUAAUACAGCGACAGCAGGUUAAUACAGCGACAGCAGGUUAAUACAGCGACAGCAGGUUAAUACAGUGAAGGCAGGUUAAUACAGCAUGUUAAUACAGUGACAGCAGGUUAAUACAGCAUGUUAAUACAGCGACAGCAUGUUAAUACAGUGACAGCAUGUUAAUACAGUGACAGCAAGUUAAUACAGCAGGUUAAUACAGCGAUAGCAGAUUAAUACAGCGACAGCAUGUUAAUACAGUAGACCAUUUGCUCCAUGUCCUAGUCAUAUUUUAUCUUAACGAGAGGGCUGCUGCCACAGCUUAGUGCCUCUGCACAGAAACAGACAGAAAGAAAUAGAAAGAGAGAGCAGGAGAGAGAGCGAGGUAAUACAGACAGAAUGACAUGGGGGAGGAGAGGUAAUACAGACAGAAUGACAUGGGGGAGGAGAG
Molecule: long non-coding RNA, 763 nt
Filed under: Salmo salar (Atlantic salmon)
Lineage: Eukaryota; Metazoa; Chordata; Actinopteri; Salmoniformes; Salmonidae
Description: lncRNA (ENSSSAG00000116678.1)
Source: RNAcentral